CCUACGGGCGGCAGCAGUGAGGAAUAUUGGUCAAUGGACGAGAGUCUGAACCAGCCAAGUAGCGUGAAGGAUGACUGCCCUAUGGGUUGUAAACUUCUUUUAUAUGGGAAUAAAAUGUUCCACGUGUGGGAUUUUGUAUGUACCAUAUGAAUAAGGAUCGGCUAACUCCGUGCCAGCAGCCGCGGUAAUACGGAGGAUCCGAGCGUUAUCCGGAUUUAUUGGGUUUAAAGGGAGUGUAGGUGGAGUGUUAAGUCAGUUGUGAAAGUUUGCGGCUCAACCGUAAAAUUGCAGUUGAAACUGGCAGUCUUGAGUACAGUAGAGGUGGGCGGAAUGCGUGGUGUAGCGGUGAAAUGCUUAGAUAUCACGAAGAACUCCGAUUGCGAAGGCAGUUCACUGGACUGCAACUGACACUGAGGCUCGAAAGUGUGGGUAUCAAACAGGAUUAGAUACCCUUGUAGUC
Molecule: ribosomal RNA, 460 nt
Filed under: uncultured bacterium
Lineage: Bacteria
Description: partial 16S ribosomal RNA
Rfam family: Bacterial small subunit ribosomal RNA
Source: RNAcentral